AAUUUCUUAUAAUAAAUCUCUUUAUAUAUAUAUAUAUGUAUACACACACAUACAUCCUAUUGGUUCUCUUUCUCUGGAGAACCCUGACUAAUACAGAUUUUGGUACCAGGAAUGGUUUGAGAGGAAUAGAAUCUUAAGAAUGCAUUUUCUGAUUUGGUUCUGGGGCUUCUGGAAUUGACUCUCUAAUCUGAUUAGAUUUAAAGACACUGGGGACUAUUUCCAGUAAUAAAGAGAGCACUGAUAGUACAUGGUGUGAUCUGGCAAUAGAGAUAGGCAAAAUAUCACCACUGGAUAUUCCUAAUCAACCACUUAUAAAAAGCAAGAAUCUGGGUGACCAUGUAUAUGAUACUUCAAGCAUUUUUGUCAAACUAACAAAUAUAGUGGGAUUGGCUGGUUGCUCCUAACGUUGGUGGACAAAGUGGGGAGAGAAAAGGAUGAACUCAGAGAUUCAAUUUCCCAGCUCAAGCACCACAUAAAUGACUUAAAAGAAUCUAUGUCUGCCCUGAAAGAAACCCUUAUCCCCUGUAGCCACAGGGCUGAGAUGGCUGAAAACCAAACUCAGAACCCUAUCUACUAUCUCAGAACUUUAUCCUGGGAGUGAAUUACAAAACAAAUUGAAUUCCCAGCCUCACUGAUGUCUACUGAUAAAGUGAGGGCAGUGUUUGGGAAGGAAUGGAUGGAAUCCUAAAAGUUGGAAUAAGGACAUGUGGGAAUACUGAUGGAGCUGGGGGCAUUGAGACCCUUAAUUCUGAUUAGUCUUGGACCACUUCCAUCAUGAAAGGGGCAGCAUUUGUUCUUAUUGGAACAGACACAUGCUGGAUACAAAUUUGCCUUCCCUUCCCACAAUGCUUCUGCCAAAACUGCCACCCGUGGACUAGAAUGCCUUAUCCACCAUUAUGGUAUUCCAAAAAGCAUUGCUUCUGAUGAAAGAACUCUCUUCAUAGCAAUGAAGAACAGCAAUGGGUCCAUGCUCAUGAAAUUCACUAGUCUUGCUGUUUUCCCUACCAUCCUGAAGCAGCUGGUAGGUAGAACAGUGGAAUGGCCUGGUGAAGCCUCAGUUAUACUGUCAGUUAGGGGGCAAUGCCUUGCAGGGAUGGGACAAGGUACUCCAGGAGGCUGUAUAUGCUCUAAAGCAGCAUUCCAUAUAUGGUACUAUUUCUCCCAUAGCCAAGAUUCACAGGUCCAGGUAUCAAGGGGUAGAAAUAGGAGUGGCACCACUCACUAUUACCCAUAGUGACCCAGUGGCAAAAUUUUUGCUUCCUGUUCCUGUAACCUUAUACUCUGCGAACCUAGAGGUCUUAGUUCCAAAGGAAGGAAUGCUUCCACCAGGAGACAUGGUAAUGAUUCCACUGAACUGAAAGUUAAGACUGGCACCUGGCCAUUUUAAGUUCAACAGGCAGAGAGGGAGUUACUGUGUUGGCUGGGGUGAUUGACCUUGACUACCAAGAGGAAAUUGGACUGCUACUCCACAAAGGAGGUAAGGAAGGGUAUGUCUGGAAUAUAGGAGAUCUCUUGGGGAAUCUCUUAGUAUUACCAUGCCCUGUGAUUAAAGUCAAUGGAGGGCCGGCCCCAUGGCUUAGCGGUUAAGUGCACACGCUCUGCUAUUGGCGGCCCAGGUUCGGAUCCCGGGCACGCACCAAUGCACUGCUUGUCCAGCCAUACUGAGGCAGCGUCCCACAUACAGCUAUGUAUGUGGCUACAACUAGAAGAAUGUGUGACUAUGACAUACAGCUAUCUACUGGGGCUUUGGGGGAAAAAAAAAGGAGGAGGAUUGGCAAUAGAUGUUAGCUCAGAGCCGGUCUUCCUCAGCAAAAAGAGGAGGAUUAGCAUGGAUGUUAGCUCAGGGCUGAUCUUCCUCACAAAAAAAAUUAAUAAAUAAAGUCAAUGGAAAACUACAGCCACCCAAUUUAGGCAGGACUACUAAUGGCCUAGACCCUUCAGGAAUGAAGGUUUGUGUCACCCCACCAAGUAAAGAACCAAGACUAACUGAGGUGCUUGAAGAAGGCAAAGGAAAUUUGAAAUGGGUAGUGGAAGAAGGUAGUUAUGAAUAUCAACUAUGGCCAUGUGACCAAUUAUAGAAAUGAGAACUGUAAUUGUCAUGAGUAUUUCCUCCUUAUUUUGUUAUGAAUAUGUUUGUGUGUGUGUAUAAAGCAAAUACCUUUGUUUUCUUUCUUCACUUAUUCUCUUAUCAUGUAACAUAAAAUGUAUUGACUAUCACGAUAUUUAAGUAUUGUUAAUUUUACAUAGUAGUAUUUAAGUUACGGGGUAUCAAGGAGAAGAGUAAACAUCAUUUAAGGACUUUGCAUCUUCUUCUGGUUAAAGAGUUAGUAAGUUUUUGGUUGUACACAAGAUAGUUGUUAGGAGAAGUAUGAGCUUGUUAUUGUCUUUAUUUGAAGAUGCAUAUGGGUGCCAGGUUGACAAGGGGUCGACUUGUGAUGGUUAAUUUUAUGUGUCAACUUGAAUGGGCUUGGGAGUGCCCAGUUAAACAGUAUUCUUGGUAAUUCUGCAAGGGUGUUUUCAGAUGAAAUUAAGAUUUUAAUUGGUAAAGCAGAUUACCCUCAUCCAACUGGUUGAAGGCCUGAAUAGAACAAAAAGACCAGCCUUCUCAAGCAAGAGGGAAUUCUCCAGCAGACUGCUUUCAGAAUUCAUUUGCACCACUGGCUUGGGAUCUGUCUCUCGAGUUGACCGGCCCACACCAGAUUUGGACUUGCCAAUUUCCAUAAUCACCCAUCUCAGUCCAGAUGCCAGACGGGAGAGUUAAGAAGCCAUCCUAGACAUCCAGCCCAGUUAAGCAUUCAGGUGACUCCAGCUUCAGCCAUGGGUGUUACCACAUGCAAGACCCCAAGCAAGCACCACCAAGCUAAGCCCAGUCAACCCACAGAACUAUGAGAAAUAAUAAUAAAUUGUUAUUUCAAGCCA
Diceros bicornis minor is the source of this 2919-nucleotide long non-coding RNA. RefSeq lists it as uncharacterized. The transcript has 2 exons. The record is from RefSeq and is a predicted model, not a curated record. NCBI's taxonomy places the organism in Eukaryota, Metazoa, Chordata, Mammalia, Perissodactyla, Rhinocerotidae.